Molecule: ribosomal RNA, 386 nt
Filed under: uncultured bacterium
Lineage: Bacteria
Description: bacterial SSU rRNA
Rfam family: Bacterial small subunit ribosomal RNA
Source: RNAcentral
GACGAACGCUGGCGGCGUGCUUAACACAUGCAAGUCGAGCGGUAAGGCCCUUUCGGGGGUACACGAGCGGCGAACGGGUGAGUAACACGUGGGUGACCUGCCCUUAGCUCUGGGAUAAGCCUGGGAAACUGGGUCUAAUACCGGAUAUGACUCCAUGACGCAUGUUGUGGGGUGGAAAGCCUUGUGCGGCUAGGGAUGGGCCCGCGGCCUAUCAGCUUGUUGGUGGGGUGAUGGCCUACCAAGGCGACGACGGGUAGCCGGCCUGAGAGGGCGACCGGCCACACUGGGACUGAGACACGGCCCAGACUCCUACGGGAGGCAGCAGUGGGGAAUCUUGCGCAAUGGCGAAAGCCUGACGCAGCGACGCCGCGUGAGGGAUGACGCCU